Molecule: transfer RNA, 83 nt
Filed under: Paenibacillus vortex
Lineage: Bacteria; Bacillati; Bacillota; Bacilli; Caryophanales; Paenibacillaceae
Description: tRNA-Pro
Source: RNAcentral
GUGUUCUUGGGCCAUACGGAAGCGGCUAUUCCAGCUGGGUACUGGGUGGUAUUGACCGUUCCGUUCAGGACGGAAUGGAUAUA